Molecule: ribosomal RNA, 498 nt
Filed under: uncultured bacterium
Lineage: Bacteria
Description: partial 16S ribosomal RNA
Rfam family: Bacterial small subunit ribosomal RNA
Source: RNAcentral
GGAUGAACGCUGGCGGCGUGCCUAAUACAUGCAAGUCGAGCGAACGGACGAGAAGCUUGCUUCUCUGAUGUUAGCGGCGGACGGGUGAGUAACACGUGGAUAACCUACCUAUAAGACUGGGAUAACUUCGGGAAACCGGAGCUAAUACCGGAUGAUAUUUUGAACCGCAUGGUUCAAAAGUGAAAGACGGUCUUGCUGUCACUUAUAGAUGGAUCCGCGCUGCAUUAGCUAGUUGGUAAGGUAACGGCUUACCAAGGCAACGAUGCAUAGCCGACCUGAGAGGGUGAUCGGCCACACUGGAACUGAGACACGGUCCAGACUCCUACGGGAGGCAGCAGUAGGGAAUCUUCCGCAAUGGGCGAAAGCCUGACGGAGCAGCGCCGCGUGAGUGAUGAAGGUCUUCGGAUCGUAAAACUCUGUUAUUAGGGAAGAACAUAUGUGUAAGUAACUGUGCACAUCUUGACGGUACCUAAUCAGAAAGCCACGGCUAACUACGUG